Molecule: ribosomal RNA, 460 nt
Filed under: uncultured bacterium
Lineage: Bacteria
Description: partial 16S ribosomal RNA
Rfam family: Bacterial small subunit ribosomal RNA
Source: RNAcentral
CCUACGGGCGGCAGCAGUGAGGAAUAUUGGUCAAUGGACGAGAGUCUGAACCAGCCAAGUAGCGUGAAGGAUGACUGCCCUAUGGGUUGUAAACUUCUUUUAUAUGGGUAUAAAAUAUUCCACGUGUGGGAUUUUGUAUGUACCAUUUGAAUAAGGAUCGGCUAACUCCGUGUCAGCAGCCGCCGUAACACCGGGGAUCCGAGCGUUAUCCGGGUUUAGUGGGGUUAAAGGGAGAGUAGGUGGAUUGUUAAGUCAGUUGUGAAAGUGUGGGGCUCAACCGUAAAAUUGCAGUUGAAACUGGCGGUCUUGAGUACAGUAGAGGUGGGCGGAAGUCGUGGUGUAGCGGUGAAAUGCUUAGAUAUCACGAAGAACUCCGAUUGCGAAGGCAGUUCACUGGACUGCAACUGACACUGAGGCUCGAAAGUGUGGGUAUCAAACAGGAUGAGAUACACCUGUAGUC